MicroRNA precursor from Brassica oleracea var. oleracea, 153 nucleotides. It matches the Rfam family "MIR9563 microRNA precursor family". NCBI's taxonomy places the organism in Eukaryota, Viridiplantae, Streptophyta, Magnoliopsida, Brassicales, Brassicaceae. The record is from Rfam.
AGAAUAUAAGAACCCGUUUCUUAACUUUAAACUAAAAAUGCUAAGAGCCGGCUCUUAAAUAAGAGAUUUAAGAGCCGGCUCUUAAAUAGGAGAUUUAAGAGCCGGCUCUUAGUUUUUUUUAGUUAAAAGUUAAGAGACAGAUUCUUAUAUUCC